CUGUUCUCAAGGAGUAUACUUUAGACACAUAAGCUAGCAAUAAACAAACAGGAUGAUUUUAGCUCAUGACAGGGCUACACAGACAGUAACAGUGAUGAGAUAGAGUGAUGGGGAAGAGGUGCUUAAAAUGGGGUUGUCAGGAAAGGCCUCUGCUAACCACCAGAUCUCAUGGGCUCAUCUUGAGAUUUAACCCAGCAAACCUCUUCUGAGCCAGUUGGCACCACUGAUCUCCCUCCCCUCCUUUAAACUGUUGCCUUCCUUGAUUUCUGUGACAAGAUACUGGUGUCACUAUCUCCUUGUCUCCUCCUACUUCCAGCUCCCUCUUUCAGCCUUCUAUGCAGGCACAUCUUCUUUUGACCACCCAUUAAAUUCGCUGUUGGCCAGGACAACCAUCCCUCCUGGCGGCUGGAAAGAAAGCUCAAGUGACAUAGAGCUUCUCCAGGCUAGGACACAGGUCCACCUGGCUACCUAACACAUUAUUCAACACCAAGGAACAACUGAUCAAUAAGGUUAAGUGCCUAUACUGACUGCAAGGCAUGUUACACAGUGCAUAAAG
This 556-nucleotide long non-coding RNA is filed under the name Homo sapiens (human). RNAcentral describes it as "non-protein coding lnc-DUSP11-4:1". Lineage: Eukaryota; Metazoa; Chordata; Mammalia; Primates; Hominidae. The record is from RNAcentral.